RNAcentral lists this ribosomal RNA (736 nucleotides) under Exophiala salmonis. RNAcentral describes it as "SSU rRNA". It matches the Rfam family "Bacterial small subunit ribosomal RNA", at positions 370 to 1207 of the family's 1533-position model. The record is from RNAcentral. Lineage: Eukaryota; Fungi; Ascomycota; Eurotiomycetes; Chaetothyriales; Herpotrichiellaceae.
AAUAGUCAAAUGGCUGAACCAGCAACUUGGAAGAAUGUAGAGAGGUAAAUCCUCAUGUAGUUCUAGGUAAAAUACAGAGUAUGACUAUUUUUUAUCUAUGAGUCUUGACCAAAUUACGUGCCAGCAGUCGCGGUAAUACGUAGAAGACGAGUGUUAUUCAUGUUUAAUCGGUUUAAAGGGUACCUAGACAGAAAACCAAGCCUCUUUAGGUACUAGUUUUCUAGAGUUUUAUGUGUGAAUAGCGAAUUAUCAGAGCAGGGUCGGAAUCCUCUAAUCCUGGUAGGACGGGUAACGGCAAAUGUUCUAUUCUAUGUAUUAACUGACGUUGAGGGACGAAGCCUUGGGUAGCGAUUAGGAUUCGAAACCCUAGUAGUCCAAGGAGACAAUGAUGAGUGCCAUAAGCUAGAGUUUUAUUUAGUUUAUAAAUGAAAGUGUAAGCAUUCCACCUUAAGACUAAAGCGGCAACGCCCAAAUUGAAAUCAUUAGACCGUUUCUGAAACCAGUAGUGAAGUAUGUUAUUUAAUUCGAUGAUCCGCGAAUAACCUUACCACGUUUUGAAUACUAAUGCAAAUUAAUACAAGUGCUGCACGGCUGUCUUCAGUUAAUGUCGUGAGAUUUUGGUUAAUUCCUUUAAUUAACGAAAGCCCUUACUUUAGUUAUCUUUAUUUCUAAAGUUGUUAACCAAUAUAUUGGAUAUCAUAAAAGGGACUAAGACAAGUCAUCAUGGCCUUAAUAA